AGAGUUUGAUCAUGGCUCAGGACGAACGCUGACGGUGUGCUUUAGGCAUGCAAGUCGAACGAGAAAGCCCUUCGGGGUGAGUAGAGUGGCGAACGGGUGAGUAACACGUGGGCAACCUGCCCCUCGCAGGGGGAUAACCGGAGGAAACUCCGGCUAAUACCCCGUAAGCUUUCAGGGUCGCAUGGCCCUGUAAGGAAAGGUAGCUUCGGCCAUCCGGCGAGGGAUGGGCCCGCGGUGCAUUAGCUAGUUGGUGGGGUAACGGCCCACCAAGGCGACGAUGCGUAGCUGGUCUGAGAGGAUGGUCAGCCACACUGGGACUGAGACACGGCCCAGACUCCUACGGGAGGCAGCAGCCAGGAAUCUUGGGCAAUGGGCGAAAGCCUGACCCAGCAACACCGUGUGGGCGAUGAAGGCCUUCGGGUCGUAAAGCCCUGUUGAUAGGGACGAAGGACGAAGGGUUAAUAGCCCCUAGCCUGACGGUACCUUUCGAGGAAGCCCCGGCUAACUACGUGCCAGCAGCCGCGGUAAUACGUAGGGGGCGAGCGUUGUCCGGAAUUAUUGGGCGUAAAGAGCGUGUAGGCGGUUCGGUAAGUCUGCCGUGAAAACCUGAGGCUCAACCUCGGGCGUGCGGUGGAUACUGCCGGGCUAGAGGACGGUAGAGGCGAGUGGAAUUCCCGGUGUAGCGGUGAAAUGCGCAGAUAUCGGGAGGAACACCAGUAGCGAAGGCGGCUCGCUGGGCCGUUCCUGACGCUGAGACGCGAAAGCUAGGGGAGCGAACAGGAUUAGAUACCCCCGUAGUCC
Molecule: ribosomal RNA, 801 nt
Filed under: uncultured Rubrobacter sp.
Lineage: Bacteria; Bacillati; Actinomycetota; Rubrobacteria; Rubrobacterales; Rubrobacteraceae
Description: bacterial SSU rRNA
Rfam family: Bacterial small subunit ribosomal RNA
Source: RNAcentral